Molecule: ribosomal RNA, 688 nt
Filed under: uncultured bacterium
Lineage: Bacteria
Description: bacterial SSU rRNA
Rfam family: Bacterial small subunit ribosomal RNA
Source: RNAcentral
AGCGGCGGAUGGGUGAGUAACACGUGGGGAACCUGCCCCUAAGUCUGGGAUACCAUUUGGAAACAGGUGCUAAUACCGGAUAAUAAAGCAGAUCGCAUGAUCAGCUUUUGAAAGGCGGCGUAAGCUGUCGCUAAGGGAUGGCCCCGCGGUGCAUUAGCUAGUUGGUAAGGUAACGGCUUACCAAGGCGACGAUGCAUAGCCGAGUUGAGAGACUGAUCGGCCACAUUGGGACUGAGACACGGCCCAAACUCCUACGGGAGGCAGCAGUAGGGAAUCUUCCACAAUGGACGCAAGUCUGAUGGAGCAACGCCGCGUGAGUGAAGAAGGUUUUCGGAUCGUAAAGCUCUGUUGUUGGUGAAGAAGGAUAGAGGUAGUAGCUGGCCUUUAUUUGACGGUAAUCAACCAGAAAGUCACGGCUAACUACGUGCCAGCAGCCGCGGUAAUACGUAGGUGGCAAGCGUUGUCCGGAUUUAUUGGGCGUAAAGCGAGCGCAGGCGGAAAAAUAAGUCUAAUGUGAAAGCCCUCGGCUUAACCGAGGAACUGCAUCGGAAACUGUUUUUCUUGAGUGCAGAAGAGGAGAGUGGAACUCCAUGUGUAGCGGUGGAAUGCGUAGAUAUAUGGAAGAACACCAGUGGCGAAAGGCGGCUCUCUGGUCUGCAACUGACGCUGAGGCUCGAAAGCAUGGGUA